RNAcentral lists this ribosomal RNA (2972 nucleotides) under Candidatus Mnemosynella biddleae. RNAcentral's name for it is "bacterial LSU rRNA". It matches the Rfam family "Archaeal large subunit ribosomal RNA". Lineage: Archaea; Methanobacteriati; Methanobacteriota; Archaeoglobi; Candidatus Mnemosynellales; Candidatus Mnemosynellaceae. The record is from RNAcentral.
UGAUCUGGUAGUAUGCCACCCGGUGGAUGGCUCGGCUCGGGCGCCGACGAAGGGCGUGGCAAGCUGCGAUAAGCCUCGGCGAGGCGCACGCAGCCGUAGAACCGAGGAUGCCCGAAUGGGAAUCCUGAUGCCGCUGAAACGGCAUCGAUCCCUUUCGGGAUCGGGAACGCGGGGAAGUGAAACAUCUCAGUACCCGCAGGAAAAGAAAUCAAUCGAGAUGCCGUGAGUACCGGCGAGGGAAAACGGCAGAGUCCAAACCGAACCCUCUGAGGAAACUCAGAGGGGAUGUGGAGUUGCAGGUGCCCUCCGGAAGCACCCGAGGGGUGAAGCCGAAGUUCCCUGGAACGGGACGCCGUAGAGGGUGAUAGCCCCGUAAGCGUAAGCCCUAGGGUGUGGAGGGUUACCUGAGUACCGUGGGUUGGAAUUCCCGCGGGAAGCUGGGGGUCACCAACCUCCAAGACUAAAUACGUCCCGAGUCCGAUAGCGCACUAGUACCGUGAGGGAAAGCUGAAAAGCACCCCAGGACGGGAGGUGAAAAGAGCCUGAAACCGGGUGGCGAUAGUAAGCUAGGGCACGAAAGGGUCGAAGCGCCCCGAAGGAAUCCGUCGCGAGGCGGUAGUACGAGGGGCGUGGACCAGUGUCCUAGCGUACGUUUUGAAGAACGGGCCAGGGAGUGUGCUCCAUUGGCGAGGCUAAGGGGAUAAACCCCCGGAGCCGUAGCGAAAGCGACACGUCCGCAGCCGCUUUUGCGGUGAGGGGCGGCGUGUUAAAGCGCGUGGAGUCAAUGGAGCACGACCCGAAGCCGGGCGAUCUAGGCGCGGGCAGGGUGAAGCGGUGCGAAAGCGCCGUGGAGGCCCGAAGGGGUGCUGAUGUUCAAAUCGCUCCCAUGACCCGCGUCUAGGGGUGAAAGUCCAAUCGAGCCCGGGGAUAGCUGGUUCCCCCCGAAACAUGCCGCAGCAUGACCUGGCCGGAGGUAGUCGGCGGGGUAGAGCUACUGAUUGGGGAGUUAAGGGAGGGAACUCCCGGCUCCCCUGUCAAACUCCAAACCCGCCGUCGCCGUAGAUGGCCGGAAGUCCGGGCUACGGGGUAAGCUUGUAGUCCGAGAGGGAGACAACCCAGACCGGGGUUAAGGCCCCUAAGUGCCGGCUAAGUGUUAACGCUGAAGGGUGUCCCAGGCCUAAGACAGCUGGGAGGUGGGCUUAGAAGCAGCCAUCCUCUAAGGAGUGCGUAACAGCUCACCAGCCGAGGUCUGGGGCCCCGAAAAUGGACGGGGCUAAGCCGGCCGCCGAGACCCCGGGGCAGGGCAAUAAGCCCUGAUCCGGUAGGGGGGCGUCCCGGUUGGGCAGAAGCAGGGUCGUGAGAUCCUGUGGACCAGCCGGGAACGAGAAUCCUGGCAGUAGUAGCAGCAUAGCCGGGUGAGAAUCCCGGCCGCCGAAGGGGCUAGGUUUCCUCGGCCAUGUUCGUCAGCCGAGGGUUAGCCGGUCCUAAGGUGGCUCGUAACUCGACGCCACCGAAAGGGAAGCCGGUUAAUAUUCCGGCGCCGCCUGGUCUUAAACCGCGGAAGCGGGCCCGACGCUUCGGGGUAGGCCGAGCAGCGCUGCCGCGCUGUCUAAGCGUAUAAGCCCGGGGAGUGCCGUAAUGGCGAGAACUGGGUGAAAGCGUGAUGGGCCCCAUUAGGGGUUCGGCCGAGCCCUGGAGCCCGUGAAAAGGGCGACCAGGCGACCGUACCGAGAACCGACACAGGUGCCCCUGGGUGAGAAGCCCAAGGCGUGUCGGGUUAACCCAGCCGAGGGAAAUCGGCAAAUUGGCCCCGUAUCUUCGGUAGAAGGGGUGCCUGCUCUUUACGGAGCAGGUCGCAGUGACUAGAGGGGAGCGACUGUCUAAUAACAACAUAGGGGGCUGCAACCCCGAAAGGGUUAGUACAGCCCCUGAGUCCUGCCCAGUGCGGGUACCUGAAAGCCCGGUUCAACGGGAAGAAGGGCCCGUAAACGGCGGGGGUAACUAUGACCCUCUUAAGGUAGCGUAGUACCUUGCCGCUUAAUUGGCGGCUUGCAUGAAUGGGUUAACGACUCCCCUACUGUCCCCGGCUGGGACCCGGUGAACCUUACAUCCCAGUGCAGAGUCUGGGGACCCCCAGGGGGAAGCGAAGACCCCGUGGAGCUUUACUGCAGCCUGCCGCUGGUCUGUGGAGCGGGAUGUGCAGGAUAGGUGGGAGGCGUCGAAGCUCGGGCGCUAGCUCGGGUGGAGCCGUCCUUGAGAUACCACCCUUCCCGCUCUGCGGGCCUAACUUCGAGAGGAGGACAACGGUAGGUGGGCAGUUUGGGUGGGGCGCCACGCCCUCGAAAAGAUAUCAAGGGCGCCCAAAGGUCGGCUCAGGCGGGUCAGAAAUCCGCCGUAGAGUGCAAGGGCAAAAGCCGGCCUGACGUGAUUCCGCAUAGUGAGGAAUCACGAGCCGAAAGGCGGGCCUAGCGAACCAUCCUGGCCUUUUGGUGAGGCCGGAUGACGACAGAAAAGCUACCCCGGGGAUAACAGAGUUGUCGCCGGCGAGAGUUCAUAUCGACCCGGCGGCUUGCUACCUCGAUGUCGGCUCUCUCCAUCCUGGCGGUGCAGCAGCCGCCAAGGGUGGGGGUGUUCACCCAUUAAAGGGGAUCGUGAGCUGGGUUUAGACCGUCGUGAGACAGGUCGGUUGCUAUCUACUGGGGGUGUCUGGGCGGCUGAGGGGAAGGAGGCUUUAGUACGAGAGGAACAAGCCUCCGGCGCCUCUGGUCGACCGGUUGUCCGGCAGGGCACUGCCGGGCAGCUACGCGCCAGUGGAUAAGGGCUGAAAGCAUCUAAGCCCGAAACCACCCCCGAAAAGAGCCGCCCGUAUAAGGGCGCCGCUAAAAGAGCGGUUUGAUAGGGCCGGGGUGUAAGCGGCGAGCCUUCGGGCGAGCCGUUCAGCCCGCGGCUACUAAAGCCCGAGCUGGAUUACU